GUGAGGAAUAUUGGUCAAUGGGCGCAAGCCUGAACCAGCCAUGCCGCGUGCAGGAAGACGGCCCUCCGGGUUGUAAACUGCUUUUGUACGGGAAUAAACCUCGCUACGUGUAGCGAGCUGAAUGUACCGUAAGAAUAAGGAUCGGCUAACUCCGUGCCAGCAGCCGCGGUAAUACGGAGGAUCCAAGCGUUAUCCGGAUUUAUUGGGUUUAAAGGGUGCGUAGGCGGCCUGUUAAGUCAGGGGUGAAAGACGGUGGCUCAACCAUCGCAGUGCCCUUGAUACUGAUGGGCUUGAAUAGACUAGAGGUAGGCGGAAUGUGACAAGUAGCGGUGAAAUGCAUAGAUAUGUCACAGAACACCGAUUGCGAAGGCAGCUUACUAUGGUCUGAUUGACGCUGAGGCACGAAAGCGUGGGGAUCGAACAGGAUUAGAAACCCUGGUAGUCC
Molecule: ribosomal RNA, 445 nt
Filed under: uncultured bacterium
Lineage: Bacteria
Description: bacterial SSU rRNA
Rfam family: Bacterial small subunit ribosomal RNA
Source: RNAcentral